This 1245-nucleotide ribosomal RNA is filed under the name metagenome. RNAcentral's name for it is "bacterial SSU rRNA". It matches the Rfam family "Bacterial small subunit ribosomal RNA", at positions 268 to 1520 of the family's 1533-position model. The record is from RNAcentral.
CCGUGGCUUCGACGGGUAGCCGGCCUGAGAGGGCGACCGGCCACAUUGGGACUGAGAUACGGCCCAGACUCCUACGGGAGGCAGCAGUGGGGAAUAUUGCACAAUGGGCGCAAGCCUGAUGCAGCGACGCCGCGUGAGGGAUGGAGGCCUUCGGGUUGUAAACCUCUUUUAUCGGGGAGCAAGCGAGAGUGAGUUUACCCGUUGAAUAAGCACUGGCUAACUACGUGCCAGCAGCCGCGGUAAUACGUAGGGUGCAAGCGUUAUCCGGAAUUAUUGGGCGUAAAGGGCUCGUAGGCGGUUCGUCGCGUCCGGUGUGAAAGUCCAUCGCUUAACGGUGGAUCCGCGCCGGGUACGGGCGGGCUUGAGUGCGGUAGGGGAGACUGGAAUUCCCGGUGUAACGGUGGAAUGUGUAGAUAUCGGGAAGAACACCAAUGGCGAAGGCAGGUCUCUGGGCCGUUACUGACGCUGAGGAGCGAAAGCGUGGGGAGCGAACAGGAUUAGAUACCCUGGUAGUCCACGCCGUAAACGGUGGAUGCUGGAUGUGGGGCCCGUUCCACGGGUUCCGUGUCGGAGCUAACGCGUUAAGCAUCCCGCCUGGGGAGUACGGCCGCAAGGCUAAAACUCAAAGAAAUUGACGGGGGCCCGCACAAGCGGCGGAGCAUGCGGAUUAAUUCGAUGCAACGCGAAGAACCUUACCUGGGCUUGACAUGUUCCCGACGGUCGUAGAGAUACGGCUUCCCUUCGGGGCGGGUUCACAGGUGGUGCAUGGUCGUCGUCAGCUCGUGUCGUGAGAUGUUGGGUUAAGUCCCGCAACGAGCGCAACCCUCGCCCCGUGUUGCCAGCGGAUUAUGCCGGGAACUCACGGGGGACCGCCGGGGUUAACUCGGAGGAAGGUGGGGAUGACGUCAGAUCAUCAUGCCCCUUACGUCCAGGGCUUCACGCAUGCUACAAUGGCCGGUACAACGGGAUGCGACGCGGCGACGCGGAGCGGAUCCCUGAAAACCGGUCUCAGUUCGGAUCGCAGUCUGCAACUCGACUGCGUGAAGGCGGAGUCGCUAGUAAUCGCGAAUCAGCAACGUCGCGGUGAAUGCGUUCCCGGGCCUUGUACACACCGCCCGUCAAGUCAUGAAAGUGGGCAGCACCCGAAGCCGGUGGCCUAACCCCUUGUGGGAUGGAGCCGUCUAAGGUGAGGCUCGUGAUUGUGACUAAGUCGUAACAAGGUAGCCGUACCGGAAGGUGCGGCUG